RNAcentral lists this ribosomal RNA (253 nucleotides) under uncultured bacterium. RNAcentral describes it as "partial 16S ribosomal RNA". It matches the Rfam family "Bacterial small subunit ribosomal RNA", at positions 524 to 776 of the family's 1533-position model. The record is from RNAcentral.
UACGAAGGGGGCUAGCGUUGUUCGGAAUUACUGGGCGUAAAGCGUGCGCAGGCGGCUUCUCAAGUCAGGGGUGAAAUCCUGGAGCUCAACUCCAGAACUGCCUUUGAUACUGAAGAUCUUGAGUUCGGGAGAGGUGAGUGGAACUGCGAGUGUAGAGGUGAAAUUCGUAGAUAUUCGCAAGAACACCAGUGGCGAAGGCGGCUCACUGGCCCGAUACUGACGCUGAGGCACGAAAGCGUGGGGAGCAAACAGG